UAAUUCGACGCUACGCGAAAAACCUUACCAGGUCUUGACAUCCGACUAACGAAGCAGAGAUGCAUUAGGUGCCCUUCGGGGAAAGUCGAGACAGGUGGUGCAUGGUUGUCGUCAGCUCGUGUCGUGAGAUGUUGGGUUAAGUCCCGCAACGAGCGCAACCCUUGCCGAUAGUUACUACGAAAGAGGACUCUAUCGGGACUGCCGUUGACAAAACGGAGGAAGGUGGGGAUGACGUCAAAUCAUCAUGCCCCUUAUGACCUGGGCUACACACGUACUACAAUGGCUGUUCACAGAGGGACGCAAUACCGCGAGGUGGAGCAAAACCCUAAAAACAGUCUCAGUUCAGAUUGCAGGCUGCAACUCGCCUGCAUGAAGUCGGAAUUGCUAGUAAUCGCGGAUCAGCAUGCCGCGGUGAAUACGUUCCCGGGCCUUGUACACACCGCCCGUCAAGCCAUGAAAGUCGGUAAUACCCGAUAUCGGUUGUCUAACCGCAAGGAGGACGCCGCCUAAGGUAGGAUCGAUGAUUGGGGCUAAGUCGUAACAAGGUAACCAAG
RNAcentral lists this ribosomal RNA (554 nucleotides) under uncultured bacterium. Its description in RNAcentral is "bacterial SSU rRNA". It matches the Rfam family "Bacterial small subunit ribosomal RNA", at positions 947 to 1504 of the family's 1533-position model. The record is from RNAcentral.